Molecule: transfer RNA, 77 nt
Filed under: Promethearchaeota archaeon
Lineage: Archaea; Promethearchaeati; Promethearchaeota
Description: Candidatus Lokiarchaeota archaeon (microbial mat metagenome) tRNA-Ala
Rfam family: tRNA
About the family: Transfer RNA (tRNA) molecules are approximately 80 nucleotides in length. Their secondary structure includes four short double-helical elements and three loops (D, anti-codon, and T loops). Further hydrogen bonds mediate the characteristic L-shaped molecular structure. tRNAs have two regions of fundamental functional importance: the anti-codon, which is responsible for specific mRNA codon recognition, and the 3' end, to which the tRNAs corresponding amino acid is attached (by aminoacyl-tRNA synthetases). tRNAs cope with the degeneracy of the genetic code in two manners: having more than one tRNA (with a specific anti-codon) for a particular amino acid; and 'wobble' base-pairing, i.e. permitting non-standard base-pairing at the 3rd anti-codon position.
Source: RNAcentral
GGGCCGGUAGUUCAGCCUGGUAGAAUACCUCCUUGGCAUGGAGGAGGCCGUGUGUUCAAAUCACGCCCGGUCCACCA